AAUUUUACCAACAUUUUUGUGUGAUUUUUAACUUCAAAAUUAAGAAGAAAAAAAACACACUUUGUAUUUAUACCCCCCAUAAAAAAAUAAAAAAAAUUUUUUUGUAAAGAGCACACCAAAACCUUAAUCCUGGGGUUUUUUAUAAAACUUAUUUUUUCCCCUAAGGGGAGUAGUAUAGUACUUGAACGACUCCAGCGCCCCCCCCCAAAAAAAAAAAAAUUUGACCCCCAAAAAAUUACCCUCAUUUCAAGUAAAAGAGCCCUAAAUUUUCAUAAAAAAAAAAAAGCAAAAAAACACCCCAAAAAACACCAAAUUUUCUUACUCCCAAAAAAACCGGGAGAACUGACAGAGAAAGAAUUCUGUGGGAUUUAAGAGAAAAAAAAUCCCC
RNAcentral lists this long non-coding RNA (388 nucleotides) under Mytilus galloprovincialis (Mediterranean mussel). Lineage: Eukaryota; Metazoa; Mollusca; Bivalvia; Mytilida; Mytilidae. The record is from RNAcentral.